This 74-nucleotide transfer RNA is filed under the name Caenimonas koreensis DSM 17982. Its description in RNAcentral is "tRNA-Gly". It matches the Rfam family "tRNA". From Rfam's summary of the family: Transfer RNA (tRNA) molecules are approximately 80 nucleotides in length. Their secondary structure includes four short double-helical elements and three loops (D, anti-codon, and T loops). Further hydrogen bonds mediate the characteristic L-shaped molecular structure. tRNAs have two regions of fundamental functional importance: the anti-codon, which is responsible for specific mRNA codon recognition, and the 3' end, to which the tRNAs corresponding amino acid is attached (by aminoacyl-tRNA synthetases). tRNAs cope with the degeneracy of the genetic code in two manners: having more than one tRNA (with a specific anti-codon) for a particular amino acid; and 'wobble' base-pairing, i.e. permitting non-standard base-pairing at the 3rd anti-codon position. RNAcentral also lists the same sequence under 1 other name. The record is from RNAcentral. Lineage: Bacteria; Pseudomonadati; Pseudomonadota; Betaproteobacteria; Burkholderiales; Comamonadaceae.
GCGGGCGUCGUUCAAUGGCAGGACCUGAGCUUCCCAAGCUCAAGAUGCGGGUUCGAUUCCCGCCGCCCGCUCCA